AUAAAAAAUCUUAAAGAAAUAUUAGAAUAAUCACAAAUAUAUCUCAAAUACAUCUCAAUUCAAUCUUAAUUUAAUCCUAGUUAAAAUCCUAUCGGACUUCAUUCAAACUUUAGGCCAAAGAUUAAUUAAAUCUUAAAUCCUAAAUAAAUCAUAAAUCAAAUCCUAAUCAAACCUUAAAUCCUAAACCAAAUCCUAAUCAAAUUCUAAUCAAAUCCUAAAUCCUAAAUCAAAUCCUAAUCAAAUCUUAAAUCCUGAAUCAAAUCCUAAUAAAAUUAUAAUCCUAAAUCAAAUCCUAAUCAAAUUGUAAUCCUAAAUCAAAUCCUAAUCAAAUUAUAACCCUAAAUCAAAUCCUAAUUAAAUCCUAAAUCCUAAAUCAAAUCCUAAUCAAAUCAUAGUAAUUCCUACAACAGAUUUAAACCUCAAUAACUAAUGAAUAAACCAUCGAUCUUAACUCAAAGUUUUCACACUUCUUAAAAAUUAAGUCAAAAAAAAGUACAAAAAAAUUGAAUAGGAUCGGAAUUACCAAAUAGACGAUAACCUCAAAAUGU
RNAcentral lists this long non-coding RNA (548 nucleotides) under Physcomitrium patens. Its description in RNAcentral is "long non-coding RNA (PPAT_LNC003159)". Lineage: Eukaryota; Viridiplantae; Streptophyta; Bryopsida; Funariales; Funariaceae. The record is from RNAcentral.